This 720-nucleotide ribosomal RNA is filed under the name Klebsiella pneumoniae subsp. pneumoniae CIP 52.145 = B5055. RNAcentral describes it as "partial 16S ribosomal RNA". It matches the Rfam family "Bacterial small subunit ribosomal RNA", at positions 1 to 708 of the family's 1533-position model. Lineage: Bacteria; Pseudomonadati; Pseudomonadota; Gammaproteobacteria; Enterobacterales; Enterobacteriaceae. The record is from RNAcentral.
ACUUAAAUUGAAGAGUUUGAUCAUGGCUCAGAUUGAACGCUGGCGGCAGGCCUAACACAUGCAAGUCGAGCGGUAGCACAGAGAGCUUGCUCUCGGGUGACGAGCGGCGGACGGGUGAGUAAUGUCUGGGAAACUGCCUGAUGGAGGGGGAUAACUACUGGAAACGGUAGCUAAUACCGCAUAAUGUCGCAAGACCAAAGUGGGGGACCUUCGGGCCUCAUGCCAUCAGAUGUGCCCAGAUGGGAUUAGCUAGUAGGUGGGGUAACGGCUCACCUAGGCGACGAUCCCUAGCUGGUCUGAGAGGAUGACCAGCCACACUGGAACUGAGACACGGUCCAGACUCCUACGGGAGGCAGCAGUGGGGAAUAUUGCACAAUGGGCGCAAGCCUGAUGCAGCCAUGCCGCGUGUGUGAAGAAGGCCUUCGGGUUGUAAAGCACUUUCAGCGGGGAGGAAGGCGAUAAGGUUAAUAACCUCAUCGAUUGACGUUACCCGCAGAAGAAGCACCGGCUAACUCCGUGCCAGCAGCCGCGGUAAUACGGAGGGUGCAAGCGUUAAUCGGAAUUACUGGGCGUAAAGCGCACGCAGGCGGUCUGUCAAGUCGGAUGUGAAAUCCCCGGGCUCAACCUGGGAACUGCAUUCGAAACUGGCAGGCUAGAGUCUUGUAGAGGGGGGUAGAAUUCCAGGUGUAGCGGUGAAAUGCGUAGAGAUCUGGAGGAAUA